RNAcentral lists this long non-coding RNA (14172 nucleotides) under Ananas comosus (pineapple). RNAcentral describes it as "long non-coding RNA (ACOM_LNC013350)". Lineage: Eukaryota; Viridiplantae; Streptophyta; Magnoliopsida; Poales; Bromeliaceae. The record is from RNAcentral.
AGUUUAGAAUGCAUUUACGCUUGUGCUGGGAUGCCAAGCUUAUUUUUACAGUAGAGUCUAGGCUGUUUCAGGUUGUCGGGUGCCAUUGGGGUGGACGGUGGACCCAGAUUUCUGUUUUUGGUCUCAGAUUGUGCCGAGGGCACGUGGGUUUGGUUUCUAGACCUGUUUUGACCCUAGCUACUUGACUUUGGCUUGUUAGAGCCUAAUUGAGCUCCACAGAUAUACGCUGCAUACUCAGUUGGGUAGCUCCCACGAGUGCCACUCCGGAGACGGGCGCUGUGCUUUUGCGUUGGUGUCGUUCAUGCAGGUUGGACUUGCUCUCCACUAACUGGUUAGUGUGGAGGUAGCUGUAUAGUCGCAACCGGGCGGGACGGGUGUGUUCACAGUCCCAGGAACAGGUAUGAUUACAGUCCUUAUUUGAGAUUGGGUCUGAGUUGACAUUAUUCUACAGAGGGUUAGAGUUAAAGCAUGAUAGUAUAGUGGUAUUUAGCUGUAGAUUUAUUCCAGCUUUCUUUACUAUUCCUGCUUAUCCCUGUAAACUUAGUGGGUGGACCGAUGAGUUUGAAGGCGGUAUCCACUGAGGACUAUUUCUUUUUGUAGUACUUCUCACGCCCAGUUGUUACCACUGUUUUGCAGAGCCGUCGCCUUCGGCUGCUGCUGUUGCUUAUCUUGAUCGUGGCAAGGGCGUCGCGAGUUAGAGCCCUUCCAGUCAAGUCGCAGAGCCAGAGGAGCACCAGCUACAGGUAGUUGUAAUUUUUGGGUCUUUACAUACAGUUGUUGUUAUCUCGCCAGAGCGAGUAUUUGUGUACCUGGAUCACAUGUAUGUAUUAAACCACAGUUUUUAUAUAUGGUUUAUUUUCUUAGCUGCUCUGUACUACUGUUUGUAGUAUUGUAUGAUUACAGGUACUUCUACUUUUCGCUUCGUAUAUAGGAAAAAUACCUAUGUAUACGGCGGGUCUGUUAGCGAGCCUGGGGAAAUGAGUAAUCCGGGGUGUGACAGAUUAAGUUGGUAUCAUAGCUUUGCAUUAGGUCGUUGGGAUCUAGGAAACCUAAGUUGUCCAAUCUUAGGAAAGUAAGACGCGAGAGGUGUGAUUUAUCGCGAAAGUCACUGAUUGAAGCGGAGGGAGUGAUUGAAAGAGUUUCUGUUUCGGUCCAGAAAAAUUAUGUUUGCUGCAGACGACAUAAUUUUGAAGAGAAACAGGGGCCGCCUUCUAGACUUUCGUUGAUUGGGUCGAGAGUGUUUGUUUGAUCUGACUCCGUUCUGUUUCUUGCAGCUAUGUAUCGUCACCGAGGUCGACCGUCUACGCGGGAUCGUGCACAGUUGACUCAGGAUCGUGCCGUACCUCCUGAGAUGUUGGAGCAGGCAGAGGCGAGUGCACCCCCUGUUGUGGAGUAGACGGCCCGACCGAAGAUGGGUGUACCUCCCGACUUGAGUGCACAGUUGGCUGCCCUGAUGGAGGUGACGAGGCGACAGAGGGAGUUGUUGGAGAGGAUGUGUGAGAGGUUAGCUCCGCCCCCGAGUUCAGCACCAAGAGCACCAGAGUCAUCAGCUCCACCCCCGACUACUCCGGCGGCAGCACCAGCUGCAGUUGUACCCCCGCCAGUGGAGAUUCCUGUGGCACCCGUUGUGCCUGCUAGGGGGCCAGUACAGAUGACAGAGGCCGAGCAGGAGCGGUUGACAGAGAGGCUUGCUCGAUUUCGCCGUUUUGAUCCGCCGAUCUUCGAUGGUAGUUGCACUGAGGCCUAGGUUGCUGAGGGCUGGAUUAGUACGAUGGAGAACCUAUUUGAGGAUCUAUUUGCCUCAGAGAGAGAGCAGAUACAUCUGGGAGUCCACUGUUUGUCAGGCGAUGCUCACGCCUAGUGGAGGAAGAUGAGGCGAGACUAUGGGCUAGUAGCGCUGCAGAUGAAGUGGGACGAGUUCUGUGGAAUGCUGUUCGGGAUGUAUUUUUCCAACAGUGUGAAACAAAAACUCGAGGAGGAUCUGAAGAGGAUUCAGCAGGGCGAGCGGACAGUUUAGGAGUACAUUCGGGAGUUUACGCGACUCCUGAACUUUGUGCUGUUCGUGGCUAGGGAUGAGGCGCACCGAGUUUAUCUCUUUGAGCAGGGUUUGAGACCCGAGAUUUUUCGGUUGGUUCAUGCGCACAGGUUGUAGACCUUGGAUGCGUCGAUGGAGCAGGCUCUUUGGGUAGAAAGGGGUGAUGCCUCCAUUCGGGAGAGGACUCAGGCCGUGGGGCAGAGUCAGGACAUGAAGCACCUCUUUCCAGAUGACGGAGGACCGUUGAGCAGCAGACGUCCGCCGAGGCCUCCACGAUCACGCUCUCAAGGUCGUGGGUCUUCGAGGAGUCAGCGUUCUAGGGGAUUCCGUCAGCAUGGACAGACUCAGAGGACACCGCAGUGUGUGAUCUGCGGGGGACCACACUGGCCUCGGCAAUGCGAGCAGAGAGAGGGCAGGUGUUACAGUUGCGGUCAGCCCGGGUAUAUGAGGUCAGCUUGUCCUCGUGCAGCAUCACCAGCACCAUCCACUGCAUCAGCGCAGCCAGCAUCCCAGCAGUCCUAUGGAGCAGCACCGAGUUUCCAUCAGGAGAACAGAUCGUCUGUACCGCGUCAAGCUGAGCGGUGACAGCAGGCUCCGAGUGGCAGGGUCUAUGCGGCCCAGGUGGAGGACUCUACAGUAGCCAACCGAGUGGUGGCAGGUAUUAUUUUGAUUUCUGGCAUUAGAGCUCGUACACUUUUUGAUACCAGUGCAUCGCAUUUCUUUGUUAGCCGAGCAUUUGUAUUGUUGCAUGGUCUAGAGUUAGGGCCAUUGUCACAGGCACGAGAGGUGCAGAUUCCCGACCAUGUUUUACAGGUUGCAGAGUGUUGUUGGUCAUGUCCGGUGCAGUUAGAUUCUUGGAUCAUGCCCGCAGACCUGUUUGUGUUAGGGCAGCUGCAGGAUUUUGACAUGGUGCUCAGUAUGGAUUGGCUUGCGCGGUACUAUGCUACUAUCGACUGUUGAGCGAGGACUGUGACGUUCCGCGAGCCAGGCCAGGAGGAGUUCACUUUCAGAGGCUGCAGGAGUAUUUCGUUUGCCACUUGGAUAUCUUCGGCGAGGGCUCGACAGCUAAUGAGUAGAGGAUGCGUUGCUUUUCUGGCGACUGUUAUAGAGGUGCCUACGGCGGCGCCGGGACUCGAGGAUAUUCCUAUAGUCCGCGAGUUUCCGGAUGUGUUUCCCCCUGAGUUGACUACGAUGCCGCCAGAGAGGGAGAUAGAGUUUGUGAUUGAUGUAGUUCCUGGAACUGCACCAAUCUCGAAGGUACCUUACCGGAUGGCACCGGCCGAGCUGAGAGAGCUAAAGGCGCAGCUUCAAGAUUUGAUGGAUAAGGGAUAUGUGAGACCCAGUGUGUCGCCUUGGGGAGCGCCGGUAAUGUUUGUGAAGAAGAAUGAUGGUUCGCUCAGGUUGUGCAUAGAUUAUCGGGAGCUGAAUAAAGUGACCAUCAAGAACAAGUAUCCUUUGCCACGCAUUGAUGAUCUGUUUGAUCAGCUGCAAGGAUCUUGUGUCUUCUCGAAGAUUGAUCUCCAGUCUGGUUACCAUCAGUUGAGGGUGAGGGCCAAGGAUGUUCCCAAGACGGCUUUUCAGACUUGGUACGGACAUUAUGAGUUUACGGUGAUGCCUUUUGGAUUGACGAAUGCCCCUACCGCAUUCAUGGAUUUGAUGAACAAAGUGUUCAAGCCGUUGUUGGAUAGGUUUGUGGUAGUCUUCAUUAAUGAUAUUCUGAUAUACUCCCGGAACGAUGCCGAGCAUGAGGAGCACUUGAGGACUGUGCUACAGCUUCUGCGAGAGAAGAAGUUGUAUGCCAAGUUAAAGAAGUGCGAGUUCUGGUUUCGGGAGGUUGCUUUCUUAGGCCACGUGAUAUCUGCGGUUGGAGUGGCAGUGGACCCGAAGAAGAUUGAUGCUAUUCGGGAUUGGCCCAGACCGACGACGGUAACAGAGGUGAGGAGUUUCCUUGGACUUGCUGGUUAUUACUGUCGGUUUGUGGAAGGCUUUGCGAAGCUUUCCACACCACUCACUCGAGAGAAGAAGUUGUGGACUUGCUAGUUCUUACCGUCGGUUUGUGGAGGACUGUGCUACAGCUUCUGCGAGAGAAGAAGUUGUAUGCCAAGUUAAAGAAGUGCAAGUUCUGGUUGUGGGAGGUUGCUUUCUUGGGCCACGUGAUAUCAGCGGUUGGAGUGGCAGUGGACCCGAAGAAGAUUGAUGCUAUUCGGGAUUGGCCCAGACCGACGACGGUAACAGAGGUGAGGAGUUUCCUUGGACUUGCUGGUUAUUACUGUCGGUUUGUGGAAGGCUUUGCGAAGCUUUCCACACCACUCACUCGAGAGAAGAAGUUGUGGACUUGCUAGUUCUUACCGUCGGUUUGUGGAGGACUGUGCUACAGCUUCUGCGAGAGAAGAAGUUGUAUGCCAAGUUAAAGAAGUGCAAGUUCUGGUUGUGGGAGGUUGCUUUCUUGGGCCACGUGAUAUCAGCGGUUGGAGUGGCAGUGGACCCGAAGAAGAUUGAUGCUAUUCGGGAUUGGCCCAGACCGACGACGGUAACAGAGGUGAGGAGUUUCCUUGGACUUGCUCGUUAUUACCGUCGGUUUGUGGAAGGCUUUACGAAGCUUUCCACACCACUUACUCGACUGACUCGUAAAGGAAUUAAGUUCAUCUAGAGUGAGGACUGUCAGAGGAGCUUGGAUGAGUUGAGACAGAGGUUGACAUCGGCUCCUAUCCUUGCCCUUCCAGUGAUGGGGGAAGGAUUUGUGAUUUACAGUGAUGCAUCACACAGUGGUUUGGGCUAUGUGUUGAUGCAGCAUGGUAGGGUAAUUGCUUAUGCUUCACGGCAGUUAAAGAAUUAUGAGAAGAAUUACCCUACGCAUGACUUGGAGCUUGCCGCGGUAGUCUUUGCUUUGAAGUUGUGGCGACACUACUUGUAUGGCGAGCACUGCGAGGUUUUCACCGAUCAUAAAAGUCUCAAGUAUCUGUUCAUCCAGAGGGAGCUGAACUGAGGCAGUACCGGUGGUUGGAGUUACUGAAGGACUAUGAUAUUAGUAUUUGUUGAAACAUAAAAAAAAAAAGAGAGAGGAAUAAAAGAGGAAAAAGAAAGAAAAAAAAAAGGGGGAGAGAAAGAAAUAAAAAAUAGAGAUGGUUUAUGAGAUUAUCCAUGCACCAGGUGCAUGGAUAAAAUUUAAAUUUUGAAAAUAUCUCAUGCACCGGGAGCAUAAAUUACGAAAAGUAGGACGUUCUCGUAGAUACGAACGGGUAUUAAAAAUAGCGUAUUAGCCCUUUCCCUUUCACGUAUUUACAAAAUGCUCCGCUUUAAUCAUAUAAUAUUUUAUUAUAUUGACUAAGGUGUAAUAUGAGCAAAGGGAAAGGACCAAUUCGCAAUAUUCUCACAAUCCCAUCGCAACCAUCCAUUAUCUCAUAAUCCCAUCAUAACCAUCCAAAAUCUCUCCCACAAUCCCACGAUACUAUCGUAACAACCUAUACCCACGAUCCCAUCAUCCCACGAUCCUCAACCAUCCACGAUCCCAUAACCUCCGCACCCAUACGCACGUUUUCCUCAAAUCCUGUUAUAACCACCUCAAUCCCACAAUCAUACGCACGUUUCCCUCAAAUCCGUUGCAACCACCCCAUAAAUACCUCUCGAAAACAAUCAAACAGGGAGAGUUUUUGAAUUUUAAAACCUAUUCCUAAACAAAAAAAAACCCAAUCCCGUUCCUGUGUCUACGAAAGAGAAGAGAAAGGUAAAAAAAAAAUAUUUUUUUUCUUCUCCAAUCAAAGCUCUCUCUCUCUCCUAAAAAGAAAAAUAAAAAAAAAAAGAGAAAGAAAAGAAGAAAAAGAUCUCAGAUCUCUUUCUCUUUCUCUCUCUCUCUCUCUCAAGCACCCACCAUGGCCAAAGCCGUAGUCGCCGUCGACGCCGACGUGGGGCUCCGGAACCUCGACCUCGAGCUCGAGAACUCCGUCAACUACACUACCAUCAAGGUCCUCGGCGGCGACUGCCGCCUCGACUAGGCGUUCCCAAGGCCGUUCGUCUCCUCGCCAACUUCAACUACCCAAGGCCGUCGCUCCUCGUCGACCCCUGCGUCCGAGGCCGCGUCGCUCCUCGGCCGUCCGCCCCUCGCCGACCUCUGCUCCGCCGAGACCGCCCACUCCGAGGCCGCCAUGCUCCUCAUGCUCGCCGACGCCGUCUACGGCGUCGUCACUUCCUGCAGCCCCGCCGUCGACCUGGUCCGCGUCGCUCCUCGGCCGUCCGCCCCUCGCCGACCUCUGCUCCGCCGAGAUCGCCCGCUCCGAGGCCGCCAUGCUCCUCAUGCUCGCCGACGCCGUCUACGGCGUCAUCACUUCCUGCAGCCCCGCCGUUGACCUGGUCCCCUGCGCCCGAGGCCGUCCGCCCCUCGCCGACCUCUGCUCCGCCGAGAUCGCACGCUCCGAGGCCACCGUGCUCCUCAUGCUCGCCGACACCGUCUACGGCGUCGUCACUUCCUGCAGCCUCGCCGUUGAUCUGGUCCGCUGCGCCCGAGGCCGCGUCUGCCUCCUCCAUCUCCUCCUCGGCUUCCCUGCACACGAGCCGUGACGCGCUCGAGCUCCUUGAGCUUUCCUGCGCCCGAGCUCCUCGCUUCUUCCGACCACAAAACCCCGUGCCAAACUCUGUACUUCCCGAUCCCCAACGAUGCGCCCGCGACGACGGACGACGGCGACGGCGACGACUACGCUGGCGAUGAGGAGGAGGACGAGGACCUGGGGAAGCUCCUAGAGCUGUUCCCGCGUCUCCGCCCUCCGGUCUGCGGCGUCGCGCAACCCGUGCGUGCUCCACCGAGCUCCGCUGCGUCUCAGCCGCGUCCCCACCUCACUUUCUUCCUCCGGCCUGCGGCGUCACGCGACCCGCGCGUGCUCCACCGAGCUCUGCCAAGUUCUUCCGAGCUCCGCCGCGUCUCCGCAGAGUCUCCAUAAGUUUCCUCUCCACACCGCACCCUCCACCUAUUCGAUGAAAUCUCCAAAAGAAACCAGAGGAAGCCCGAUCGAUUCGACGGCGGUCGGAACAGCCCUGAUGAGAUCUUGGCGGCAGUGACCUCAUCGGGCGCGGACACCAAGGUGUGGGUCGCGGAGGUGCCUCCCAUGCACUCUGCCGAUACCUUGACCGCCUCGUAGUGGGGCUCGACGCGGAGACCAUCAUCGCUGACAGCCGCGCCGCCACCCGUGGGUUCUCAUCAAUUGACGGGUGCUUGCUGUAGAUGCUGCGGAAUGGCGACGAGUUGAAGCCCGACAACCUCGCUCACCAAUUGUUCGAUGAAACGCUACUGCUCCGACGGAGUUGGCGCCAACGGAUCACGCCCACCAGUUACUUGACGAAAUGCCCAAGAUGUUUACUUUCGACGGCGAACCUGAUAUGUACAUAAAGAGAGAGAGCGGUGCUCUUCUCUUUAUAAAAAAUGCGUGUUAUUAAAAGAGAAAGAGCGGUGCUCUUCUCUUUAUAAAGAAUAUGGCAUCAUCAAAAGGGAAAGAGCGGUGCUCUUCUCUUUGUAAAAAUGUUAUCAAAAGAGAGAGAGAUGUUACUUCUCCAAUGAUAAAAAAGAAAGAGAGAGAGAGCUUUGUUACUGUAGGGAGGCAAGGAAGGGAUUUUUAUCCCGCCUUAGUUGUCCCACGAAUGUAAAAGAGAUAAAAAGGAAUUAUUCAUCUCUGUUAUACUAUAUUUUUAAAGAAGAUAAAGAGAAAAAAUGUAUUCUCUUAAUUCUUCUCCAAUGAAGAGAUGAAAGAAAAUUAGUCGAACCUUUCGAUUUGGUCGAAAUAGAUCGAAUCGAUAUUUAAUUCCACAGUAUGUGAUUUAUAGCUGAGAAUUUGACAAAUAAUAAAACGCGUUCGGAAUAUAUUUUUGAUGAAUUUGAUUUUGAGCUAUAUAUUUUGAUCUCAAAUCUCAUAUGGACCAAACCCAUAUUCAUUUCACAAGUUCACUUCAAACCCAAGUUAAACAUAACCCAAGUCCAAUACAAAUACGAAUCUGGGCCCAAUCCCAUGAUUUGAUUAAAAGAAAAACCAUACGGGCCCAUAUUAAGUCCGAGCCCAUAUGUAAUUCAAGUCUCAACUUGGACCCAUAUAUGAAUAAUGGAAUUUGGACCCAUCCAUGAAAAAGCUAUACCUAGCCCAAGUCCAGAUUUCCCAAUUUUUUGAGCCUAUAACACAAACCAUACGGGCCCAUAAUAAGUCCGAGCCCAUAUGUAAUUCAAGUCUCAACUUGGACCCAUAUAUGAAUUUGAAUUUGGACCAUCCAUGAAGCUAUACCUAGCCCAAGUCCAGAUUUCAAUUGAGCCUGUAACACAAACUAUACAGCCCAUACCCGAAUCCAUAUCCAAAAUGAUUUAGCCCAUACCCGAAUCCAUAUCCAAAAUGAAUUCAGCCAUAUUGAACCCGAAUCCAUAUCCAAAAUGAAACCAUACGGGCCUACAUUGAGCCCAAAUCCAUAUACAAAAUGAUUUGGUCCAUAUUGAAUCCGAAUCCAAAUUAAAAUGAAUUCAGCCCAUAUUAAGCCCAAGUCCAGAGCCAAAACGAAAUGAGCCCAUAUUAAGCCCAAAUCCAAAUCCCAUAUUGAGCCCAAAUCUCACCCAAUUAAUUCCAAUCAAGUCAUACAUGAAACCUAUAUGAAACUAGAGCCUAAUCUUGACAUAUGGAAACUCGGUCAAAUUCUAAAUAUUUGAUUAGAAUUGAUCAAACCAUCUAAUCAAAUCAAUUGAACUCUAAUACAUCUACUUAGAGUUCAUAUAAAUGAAAUUAAAUUAAACUCUAAUACAUACACUUAGAGUUUAAUUUUAACUAAUCCUAACUUAUAAAAUUAGGAUUUAAUUGAUGGUAAACCCAAAUUCAUCUCUUGAUUAGACUCUAAUACAUAUACUUAGAGUUUAAUUUCGACUAAUCCUAACACAUAUAAUUAGGAUUUGGUCCGCAUCUCGCUACAUGGUGCACAUAAAUUCAUCUUAUGGCGAACCCAAAUGAAAUUAAAUUGGACUCUAAUGUAUACGUUUAGAGUUUAAUUUAAAAUAUUUUGACUAAUCCUAACAUAUAUAAUUAGGAUUUAGUUCAUGUGAAACCAAAUUAGACUCUAAUACAUACACUUAGAGUUUAAUUUAAAUCAAAUUUUGACUAAUCCUAAUACAUAUAAUUAGGAUUUAGUUAAUAUUUGGCCUUAUGGUGAACUUAAUUAAGCUCGAACAUAUAAGCAUAGAGCUUAAUUAUACUAGACUUUAAGAUAGAAAAUUAGAGUCUAAUCCAAAAUAUUUGAGCUAAUCCUAACAUAUACAUCUAGGAUGAAAGCUUAAAUCAAAUCCAAUUGGACUUUAUCAUAUAUAUUUAAAGUUCGAUUAACUAAAUCAAACUCUAAUUCAUUUAAUUAGAGUUUAAUUUGAAUCAAAUCUGAUUAAGUCCCAAUGUAUAUACAUGGAAUUUAAUCAACCUUCCACCUUAGGGUGAACAAUAUUGUUAAGCACUGAAACAUAUGAAGCCCAAUCAAGUCAAUUUGAUUAUACACUUUGAUUCAGAAUCAAAUUCAAUCAACCGUCAUACUGAAUUAUGUUAUAAAAUCCAUCUUUUAUUCAAUCACAGCAUUACAAAUGUCUCUUAAUCGAAGGUGCCCUAACACUUUGUAGGGGUAAUUAACAAUGGACGCUUGCGUUUAUUAGAAGCCAUGAAUCCACAAUACCUGAUUCCCAUACAUAUUCAAAUAUUAAUCUGAAUCAUGAAUACUAUCCCACGGUGAAAAAUCAAAAUUAAAUUAACCGUGCGGGGUAUGUCAUUCGUGGUCGCAGACAGUAUUCAGUAUCAUCCCGGCAAGGCAAAUGUGGUGGCAGAUGCGUUGAGCAGGAGGACAGUGCAGAGCUUGAGCAUGUUGAUCACUCAGCAGAGGCCGUUACUCGAGGAGCUGCAGCAACUGAGGCUCGAGAUAGUGUCCCCUGGAUCUACUGCGAGACUGAUGUCUAUGGUCUUGCAGCCCACUUUGUUGGAUAGGAUCCGAGAGAAACAGAGUGGAGAUCCACACUUGUCGAGGAUUCGAGAGCAGUUUGAAAGGGGACAGACUGAGGGCUUUGUUGUGGACAGUUCAGGAGUACUGCGGUAUAGGGACCGACUGUGUGUACCUAUCGAUUUAGAGAUCCGAGAGGACAUUUUGAGAGAAGCUCACUGUUCACCUUAUACGGUUCACCCCGGUGGAACCAAGAUGUAUAAGAAUUUAAAGGCCCAGUUUUGGUGGAAUGGAAUGAAGAGGGACAUUGGUAGAUUUGUGGCUCAGUGUCUGACUUGUCAACAGGUAAAGGCCGAGCAUCAGGUAACUUCUAGCAAGCUUUAGAGUCUGCCAGUGCCUAAGUAGAAAUGGGAGCAGAUCACGAUGGACUUUGUCGUGGGGUUGCCUAGAGCUCAGGGUGGUUUCGAUGCUAUUUGGGUGAUAGUGGACAGACUGACUAAGUCUGCUCACUUCCUACCAGUUCAGACCAUCUGGUCGAGAGAGAGGCUCGCUCAGCUAUAUCUAGAUGAGAUAGUGAGGUUGCAUGGCGUGCCCACUACGAUAGUAUCAAAUCGAGACCCGAGGUUCGUCUCGCACUUUUGGAGGAGUCUUUAGACGGCCUUGGGCACUCAGUUGCAGUUCAGCACAGCAUUUCACCCACAGACAAAUGGUCAGUCAAAGCAGACCAUUCAGACUCUUGAGGACAUGCUGAGGGCAUGUGUCCUGGACUUUGGAGGAGGGUGGUAUCGACAUUUGAGACUGGCUAAGUUUGCAUACAACAACAGCUAUCAAGCGAGCAUCCAGCUGGCUCCGUUUGAGGCGUUGUAUGGAUGCAGGUGUCGAUCUCCUUUGUUUUGGAGUUAUAUGGGUGAGAGGAAAACGCUUGGGCCUGAGAUUCUGGUUGAGGCUGAGAAAAAGGUAAAAGUUGUGCGAUGACACAUUUUAGCAGCCCAGAGUCAGCAGAGGAACUAUGCUGAUACCCGGAGGCGAGACUUGGAGUUCCAUGUGGGAGAUCAUGUGUUUCUUAAAGUCUCGCCGUCCAGAGGGAUUCGCAGAUUUGGAGUACGUGGAAAGCUCAGUCCAUGUUUUGUAGGCCCUUUUGAGGUAUUGGAGCGAGUCGGGCCAGUUGCUUACAGGAUUGCUCUACCUUCACGACUAGCCGGCAUUCAUGAUGUAUUCCACGUCUCGGCGUUGCAGAGAUAUGUGUUCGACCGCUCCCACGUGAUUGAUUUUACUCCGCUAGAGAUUGGCGAGGACCUGAGAUACGAAGAGCGACCGGUGCGGAUUCUGGCUCGUGAGUCGAGAAAAUUGCGCAACCAGGUCAUACCCUUUGUGAAGGUACAGUGGAGUAAUCACGAGGAGCGUGCGGCGACUUGGGAGCCGGAGACGGUGAUGAGAGAGUCCUACCCCUACUUAUUUGAGGCCCAGGAUUGAGGUAUGUUUCAGUUUCGUGAUCGAAACUUUUUGUGAUGAGGGAGAAUGUAGUGUUUCAGAGGUUUGGAUAGGAUUGGCUACAGUAUUAGUGGUUGGUCGACACGUCUGGAGAGUGUCGGACUGAGUCGGAGUCGUUUUUGCACGAAAUGGAUGCAGAAAUGGACUUGGCGCACUCAAAUAAGCAAAACUGGAGUUUUGCCAGAUUCGGACGCCCAGAACUGGCCUUGGGUCACCCAGAAGUUCAGUGCAGAAUUGAACUGAACUCGAAGCCAAUUUGGGUCUAUGUUUCGGGCGCCCGGAUGUGGGUCCGAAAAUCCACUUUGGAAGUAUCGAUCGCGCUGACGCGUGGCUGGUGGUAGGUGAGGUCCGCCGGAGCCGGAUAUGGGCACAGCACACCACGAGCGGAGAGUCCGAUGAGGGAGCUUUGUGUAGCCUGGAUGAUUCGGGCGCCCAUAAUGUGGGUUCGGGCGCCCGGAAAUGCCCAUGUCUACAGAGACACCAGAUUGCAGCAGCUAUUCUUGGAGCUUAUUCUACCAUUCCAGGACCCUAUAAAUAGGUGGAGAGUGACCCUGAUGAGCUCUUUUCACUCUCUCUUCACAGUAGCAUCUCUGAUUUCUCCUCCACCCCUCGAUUUUCCUCAAAUUGCAUCCAAUCUUUCAGUUGGAAGGUGGUGGAGUGCUGAUUCUGUAGUUUUCCAGCGACGACCUUCGGUUUUUUGGCUCGUGUGCGACGUAGGAAGAUCGGAUUGCGGUGAAACUUGGUUUGCUGGAUUCUAGACUUCCAGAGGAAUUGCAGAUUUUGGUUGAGAGUAGCUUGGUCGAUUCCAUAUUUUUCUGGAUUGUUGGUGACUUUGAGCUGAAAAUCUGAUUUUUGGAUUUUUCUUGGUGCUAUCUUUGGAAGCAAGGUGUUUUUGGACCUGAGAUACAUACUCCAUCCUAUUCCACUGGAUUUGAGACCUUCCAUACUAGAUUUGGAUGUGAUUAGGUAAGUUUGGAUAUUGGAGUUGCGUUAAUUUAGCUUAAGUGCUGAAAAUUUGUGUUGAUUGUGACAUUUUGAUGGAUUUUAGUGGAUUUGGAAGUUCAGAUCUGAAUUGUGGACCCUUGCUGGCUGAGAGGGAGUUCGGCUGAGUUUCCAGCAUCUCCGAGAUUUUCUUGCUGUCAGGAAUUAGCUUUUGAGGUGGGUGUUUCAUCGGUUUCGCUCCUAAGUGCUAGUGUAGUCGACAUGUAUGAUUUCGGUUCUUAUACAUCAUAUUGUAGCUCAAAUUCAUUGAUUGUAGCAUGUAUGAAAUCUGAAUUGGGAGCAUGACUAUUAAUUAGAUGAAUAUACAUGUUGGACUUGGAUCUUGACUUAGGAGAAAACCAGCGAUUCGACCUGUCAUAUGAUUCUACUACCUGAUUUAGCUUUAGGAGCCGUGGUUUGAUUGUAUCACUACUGUUUCAGCGCGGUGGAUACCCGGGGUAGUUUAGAAUGCAUUUACGCUCGUGCUGGAAUACCGAGCUUAUUUUUACAGCAGAGUCUAGGCUGUUUCAGGUUGUCGGGUGCCGUCGGGGUGGACGGUGGACCCAGAUUUCUAUUUUUGGUCUCAGAUUAUGCCGAGGGCACGUGGGUUUAGUUUCUAGACCUAUUUUGACCCUAGCUACUUGACUUUGGCUUGUUAGAGCCUGAUUGAGCUCCACAGAGAUACGCUGCAUACUCGGUUGGGUAGCUCCCACGAGUGCCACUCCAGAGACGGGCGCUAUGCUUUUGCGUUGGUGUCGUUCGUGCCGGUUGGACUUGCUCUCCACGGACUGGUUAGUGUGGAGGUAGCUGUAUAGUCGCAACCGGGCGGGACGGGUGUGUUCACAGUCCCAGGGACGGGUAUGAUUACAGUCCUUAUUUGAGAUUGGGUUAGAGUUAAAGCAUGAUAAUAUAGUGGUAUUUAGCUGUAGAUUUGUUCCAGCUUUCUUUACUAUUCCUGCUUAUCCCUGUAGACUUAGUGGGUGAACCGAUAAGUUUGAGGGCGGUACCUACUGAGGACUAUUUCUUUUUGUAGUAGUUCUCACGCCCAGUUGUUACCACUGUUUUGUAAAGCCAUCGCCUUCGGCUGCUGCUGUUGCUGAUCUUGAUCGUAAUAAGGGCGUUGCGAGAUUGAGCCCUUCCAGUCGAAUCGCAGAGCUAGAGGAGCACCAGCUACAUAUAGUUGUAGUUUUUUGGUCUUUACAUACAAUUGUUGUUAUCUCGCCAGAGCGAGUAUUUGUGUGCCUGGAUCACAUGUAUGUAUUGAACCACAGUUUUUAUAUAUGGUUUAUUUUUCUAGCUGCUCUAUACUACUAUUUGUAGUAUUGUAUGAUUACAGGUACUUCUACUUUUUCGCUUCGUAUACAUGAAAAAUAUCUAUGUAUACGGCGGGUCUGUUAGCGAGCCCGGGGAAACGAGUAAUCCGGGGCGUGAUAAUUAAUACAUAUUAUUUAUACUUAAAAUUUAAAAUAAAUUAUUUUUAUUAAAUUUAAGUUAAAGUAGACUUUGAAAAAAAAAUUAUUUUCAUAAUAAAUUAUUUUCAUUAAAUCACAAUUUAUAAUAAAUUAUUUUUAUUAAAUAUUAUUAUACUUAUUUUUAUAAAAUUAUUUUUAUUUUUAUAAUAAAUUAUUUUUAACAAAUUAUCUUUAUUAAAUUAUUUUUUAUAUCAAAUUCAACUAUUAUUUUUUCUACCAUCCUCUGCUAUUUCAUAUGAUUAACAAAAUACAAUUUCAAUUAUUUAU